GGAGGCUAGGGAUAGCAAGCUAGUAAUUAGUAUUAGGCUCUUUUCGCCGAGGGAUCGGGUUAAGGGUAGGCUAAGAAAGUUGCAUGACAAUUAAUUAAUCAAAAUAAUAAAUCAAGAGGAGUAAAUAAGAGAGAGCGGAUUAGAUGAAAUUGUAAACCCCCAACAACUUCAUUCAUCCAUUCUUUUCUUCUUGUCAAUUGAAUUAUUCUCGUUUGCAUGUUUAUAUUUUAUUCACACAUCCAAUUAAUUAAUUUUUUUUUCAACUCUUACGAUUUUAAUUCACGCGAAUGAUAAGGCCUUUCGAGUCUCUUGGAAAAACGAUACUUGGUCUUACCAUUUACUAUUACUUGAACGAAUUGUUACGCUUGCCAAUCCGUCAACAAGUUUUUGG
This 391-nucleotide long non-coding RNA is filed under the name Vigna radiata. RNAcentral's name for it is "long non-coding RNA (VRAD_LNC000661)". The record is from RNAcentral. Lineage: Eukaryota; Viridiplantae; Streptophyta; Magnoliopsida; Fabales; Fabaceae.